This 392-nucleotide ribosomal RNA is filed under the name uncultured bacterium. RNAcentral's name for it is "bacterial SSU rRNA". It matches the Rfam family "Bacterial small subunit ribosomal RNA", at positions 29 to 406 of the family's 1533-position model. The record is from RNAcentral.
AGCGAACGUUAGCGGCGCGCCUAACACAUGCAAGUCGUGCGAGAAAGGGCUUCGGCCCCGGUAAAGCGGCGCACGGGUGCGUAACACGUGGAUAAUCUACCCGGGAGCGGGGGAUAACCUUCCGAAAGGAAGACUAAUACCCCGUAGGACCACGGCGACCAAGGUUGCCGAGGUGAAAGAUGCCCUCUUCAUGAAAGGUAUCGCUUCCGGAUGAGUCCGCGGCCCAUCAGCUAGUUGGAGAGGUAACGGCUCACCAAGGCGAAGACGGGUAGCUGGUCUGAGAGGAUGAUCAGCCACACUGGAACUGAAACACGGUCCAGACUCCUACGGGAGGCAGCAGUGGGGAAUAUUGGUCAAUGGGCGCAAGCCUGAACCAGCGACGCCGCGUGGGU